ACCUGGGUUCGGUUAUCCUGCCUUGGCCUCCCAAAGAUUACAGGCAUGAGCCACCACACCCGAACACUUGAGGUGAUUUUAAGCUUCUAGCAAAGUGCACCAGCAGGACCAGGAGGUGGCCUGGGCCCCCCCGCAUCACUCCCAUCCAUGCAGACCUAGGCAAGUCCCUCUCUCUGGAUCUCUGCCACCACUACAUACAAUGCAAGUAGAAAGUUGGGCAGGACUGUGGGUGGAGAAGGUAGAGGUCACGUCUGUCAGGCUGGGUGGGCUGGAGCCUGUCUUCCCAUACCUGGGACAUGAUCUCCAAGGACCAGCUGUCAGUCAUGAUGAUGGGCUGGCUUGGAUUGGCAAGGAGCUUGCUCUCCUUCUUGGAGGGAUGGAGCAGUGUGGGGCCAAAGACAGCGGUGAGGUUGUACAGGGACAUCUUAUUGACUGCCUCCUUCUCUGCCAUACUGUAGAGGACUGAAACAGCAGGUGCUGUUUCAAUACCACCACUGAGAGAGACAGAUGCCAUGCUGGAGUCCUCAGGAAGGGAGUGACCUCAACCCUGGCUGUGCUGCAAGCUGACUCCAGCCCUGGGGUCAGCAGCACCCAGCAAACAGCAGCAGGAGGAGCCGUGAGAACAGCCGCUCAUGGGCAGAGCUGCCCUUGGGCAACUCCCGCCACCACCCCCUCCCCAGGGGAGCCCAAUGCAGGAGAGGCUUGGUGUGGAAUGAAACAGGGGAGUGAGGGACACAAGGAGGUGGGAAGUGGGAGGGGGCCCCAGCCCCACCAAGUAUACAGAGACUCCCUCAUCGUCCUGGACACCACACGGUCACCUGCAUGCUGGGAAAGCAGGUCUUUUGUGCAUGGGCCUGGGGGCAGACCUGCCCUAAGGGUCAUGUGGAGACUACAGGUGCUGCACGUGUCAGCGCCCGCUUUAGACAUCAGCCUGCAGGUUGACUAAGGGUCAGGCCAUGUUUGAACCCAUGCUUGACUGGACCAGGACCCGUGGCUAGAGCACCUGGUCACCAGUGUUUAGCCCUGGUCUGCAGGAAGGAGGACAGCAGAUUUUAGGACACUGCAGCAUGACAGUGCUGACCAUUUCACCCUCUUGGUCUCCUUGAGGAAUAGGGACGGGGAGCCCUCUGGGGAUGGGCGAGGUCUUCCAGGACAGGCUUGAUUUUGGUCCCCUGCUUUCUGAGGUUGGGUUAAAACACCAUGGCAGAGGGGGCACAGCUCGGGUUCCCACACGUCACUUUUCACAGCCUCCAAUGACAGCAGUGCACGUGGAGGAGACGUCUCCCACAAGGCCAAGGCUUCCAGUGCUCACCG
Cercocebus atys (sooty mangabey) is the source of this 1314-nucleotide RNA transcript. RefSeq lists it as uncharacterized. NCBI's taxonomy places the organism in Eukaryota, Metazoa, Chordata, Mammalia, Primates, Cercopithecidae. The record is from RefSeq and is a predicted model, not a curated record. The transcript has 2 exons.